GAAAGUCAUACGGUUUUGGGACGCCAUCGGGGUGAGUAAGAGAUGACCGAGUUUUCAUUUUUGGGAGAGCUAUCCCUUUAAGGUCGACAUGGAAAGGACUCGAGUGUCCUGUGAACUCGACCCCACCGAACACCUUUAGGAUGAACUGGAACAAACAUCCAACCUGACCUCACUGACCCGCUAACGUGUUACACAAACAUGCGAAGCACAUUUCAGUGCUGUCAUAAAAAAUUUUUACAAAAAAGUUCACUGUUUAUUAGAUCCCUGACGGGAAGUCAGGACGUUUUCUGGUCAACUACGGCAGUGGUGGACUUCGGGUAAAAAGAACUGAUUCAUCCUAGGGAGGAGUCUGACGCGGUGUUUUGAGAGACAGAGAGCACAUUCUUCAGUGACUUGGAUUUGAAAAAGGAACGCCACACAGAGCGGCUCCUUUACUGUAAACGAAUGCAGGUAGGAGCCGUUAAAGGAAUCUGCAUCGAUGUAUGAGUUGUAAGGGAAGGCUGAUAGGGGUGUAUCGUGCAGGGUCCUGAUGAGUGAUGAGUGCAUGGGAAGGAGAUAACACUUUGGAUGAAGUCUUGAAGGUGCACCCACUAGUGGCUGGUUUCUGUUGGAAGAACUGGCAUGACGUAAUCCAGCUGUGCUGCAGACCGUGACAGAGAAGACAGCCUUCCUCUGAGACCACUCCAUCAUACGCAUGAAGUCAUUUUACAAAUGCUUUUAAGAUCUUUCCUGCGUAGCGUCCACACUUAUGAACAAUCACCUUCAGGCUGUUGAUAGUAAAAUACAAAAAAUGUAUAUAUAUAUAAACAUCCUCAACUAUUACAAUUUAAAAUAAAUCAUUAUCCUGAUUUCUGCUGAUUUCAAAAUUCUCACGUCUCUGGUGGAUCUUCACAGAUUUUCUAAACAUAAAAUCUCCAAUGAAGUGUCAAACAUUGCGCGCUGAAUCUAACAAACGCUAGAGCUUUUCUAAAACCUUCUAUUCCUUAUAAACCUCCGAAAUCAGCUUUAUCGUCCAGCAGUCCUAAACUGUGUAAAUUGUUCCGAGUUCAGGAAUAUUAGGUCAGGAAUGUUGCUCUGUUUUUGACCGGAAUAUGAACAAUUUUUGUGUAUAAAUAUUGGAAUUGGAAGAUUUCAUUUUUUUUUUUCCACUCAUAGUAUUCCUACACAUGGGCACAUGUACACAUCCUACACAUGUAUUUUUUAAUACACUGUAAGUGAUAUUUAGAAAAAGUCAUCAUUCAUAUGGCGUCAUAUGUUUGUUUGUUUUUAAGUAUGCAUGAAAGGGUUAAUUAAUAAAUUGUGCAAGAAUGAAUUUAUUGUCCAUUAUUUAUAACUAUUCACUGUAUUUAUGUACUGUAUUACUGAAAUACACCGCA
Molecule: long non-coding RNA, 1376 nt
Organism: Ictalurus punctatus (channel catfish)
Lineage: Eukaryota; Metazoa; Chordata; Actinopteri; Siluriformes; Ictaluridae
Source: Ensembl